GAUGAACGCUAGCGGCAGGCUUAAUACAUGCAAGUCGUGGGGCAGCAGGACUGUAGCAAUACAGUUGCUGGCGACCGGCACACGGGUGCGGAACACGUCCGCCACUUACCCUGAACUGGGGGAUAGCCCGGGGAAACCCGGAUUAAUACCCCGUAAUAUACUGGAGUGGCAUCACUUUAUUAUUAAAGCUCCGGCGGUUCGGGAUGGGCGUGCGGCUGAUUAGGUAGUUGGUUGAGGUAACGGCUCACCAAGCCUACGAACAGUAACUGGUGUGAGAGCACGACCAAUCACACGGGCAAUGAGACACGGGCCCGACACCGACGGGAGGCAGCAGUAAGGAAUAUUGGGCAAUGGAGGCAACUCUGACCCAGCCAUGCCGCGUGGAAGAUGAAGGCCCUCUGGGUUGUAAACUUCUUUUAUAGGGGACGAAACCUGUGUAUUCUUACGCAGUUGACGGUACCCUAGGAAUAAGCCCCGGCUAACUCCGUG
RNAcentral lists this ribosomal RNA (489 nucleotides) under uncultured bacterium. RNAcentral describes it as "partial 16S ribosomal RNA". It matches the Rfam family "Bacterial small subunit ribosomal RNA", at positions 28 to 507 of the family's 1533-position model. The record is from RNAcentral.